This 206-nucleotide unclassified non-coding RNA is filed under the name Hevea brasiliensis (rubber tree). Lineage: Eukaryota; Viridiplantae; Streptophyta; Magnoliopsida; Malpighiales; Euphorbiaceae. The record is from RNAcentral.
GAGAAAUUGACCAAAACAAGCUGCAAGCAGUCCAAGAAUUACUGGUUCAAUUCAUUUGCUAGCCGUCCUACACCUGAACCUCACAAUAUCUAGACCUUAUUGUUUCCAAAUUGAUAUAAAUAAGUGCUUAAGAAAUAUAAACAAUAUCUCUCUGAAUGGAAAAAUAGUUUAACAGGACGUAGCCAACUAUGGUCAUGCAGUAAUUG